CUUCAAACAGUCCAGGGAUGGCUCAUCAGAAGUGGAGCACUCUCCCCACAACAUUCAUUUGGAGACAGGCUAGCAAUUUCUCAUUCUUCAUUCCUCUUUUCUUGACCUCACUCUUCUGCAAGGAGAAUACUGGCAAGAGUUAUCUGUGCAAGAACAUAUUCUUUCAGGCUGGGUCAUCCUGGAUGAGGAAAUGCUUGGAGCUACACACUAAACUCCGGCCUCAAGCAGAGAGAAGCAAUCCUUCCGCACAAGGCAUGCAUCUAAGGUGCUAAAAGGCACUUUUACUUCCUCUAGCAAGUGGGAAGCCACAUCUGUUUGACCACGUAGAAGCUUCUGACAUCUUGUCAUGAGAAGCCAUGAUUCAUGUGUGAUGUUCAUCCUGUGCAGGCUUGGAGCCGGAUGAGAUGUUUCUGAACCCUGUAUUUCAUCAUCUAUUUGGGAUUAUUUCAUGGGUCAGGAUCAUUCCAUUUUAUGUGUUCGGUAGGAAUCUAAGAGGUCCAUCAGAAACUCAGCACACAAAGCAGGGAGCUGUGACUUCUGCGGUCUAUGGAGUAAACUCCAGUCUAGAUUAUGGAGGAUGUACCAGUAAGACAAUGACAGUUGACUCCUAACCUGAUGUUCUGGGCCCUGUCUGGUCCAUUCCUUCCCCUCAGAGGGAGUUCUCCCACCAGGACUAUUUGUCUACUAAAAGAAGAACCCAGUGGGUUUGCAAACCCUUCUACUGAAGAAAGAGAAAGCUGAUGGGGAAUGUUUCUGUGCAGUUAUAUCAAAUGCUGGGCCAAUUUCCAGAAGAUAAGAUGACAAGGAAUCUCUUGUUUAGCAUCAAAGAAGGAAACUUACAAAGCAGAACAUGAAGAAUCCAGUCUGUCCUGGGUAGAUCUACACAGUCUAGGGAGCUGGCUCUCCUUUCCCACUAAGAGUAUAACUGGAGCUGUGGCCUAAGACAGAGAGGGUGUCAGAAACUGACACUGUACACCCCCAAACAGACAUUUAAAGAGAAAGAAAUGGAGGGAAAGGUUGCACUUAAUAAUAGAAAAGACUCGG
This 1044-nucleotide long non-coding RNA is filed under the name Cricetulus griseus (Chinese hamster). Its description in RNAcentral is "lncRNA (ENSCGRG00015033947.1)". The record is from RNAcentral. Lineage: Eukaryota; Metazoa; Chordata; Mammalia; Rodentia; Cricetidae.